This 847-nucleotide long non-coding RNA is filed under the name Parus major (Great Tit). RNAcentral describes it as "lncRNA (ENSPMJG00000012225.1)". Lineage: Eukaryota; Metazoa; Chordata; Aves; Passeriformes; Paridae. The record is from RNAcentral.
AAAGAUGAAGUAUUGUAUAGGAAGCAACUCUCUAGGGUGAGAAACAUGAAAGCAUCUGUCUGCUUAAUGGCUUGAAUCCUGUCUAAGCACUCAAGCCCACCCUUCUAUCAGCAUCCACACAGGCAGUCUCUUGCAUCCUGCACUCAACCUGGUUCUUUUCUUGCUUUGCAGUUUAGAAAUGGAGCCUGAAACACUGAUUUCAGACAUCCCACUGCAAGAAUUUGGACCAUGUUGCAAAAUGGAUCCCCUGUUUCCAAGCGUUGCUGAUUACUUUUAACUUCAAGACUGAAAAAUAUCUUCAAGCUAGGGAAUCUGAGGGAAGUUGUGAGCUAGGAACAUCUAUUGGUUUUUGGCAGUAUCCAGUGUUGCUAAGGAUGAUUUAAUUCCUACUACCAGUCCUAUUCCCAGAGGUAGCUUCUCCAAGGUGGCUCCUGACAUAGGAAAUGAAACAGAGAGAACAAAGAAACUCAAAUAAACUCUUUGCAGGUGGAAAAUACUGUGACUGCUUGCCUGGGACUGAAACAAUCCAUUUGAAUUAUCAGAAAGGAUAAUAAUCUUGCAGUAGAGGUCAAGUAACAGCAGAGCCAGGAACUGCAGCUAAUGGAGUUGGAACUUUUCAACCUCAAAUUCCAGAGCUAAGCAAGUACAAACAGAAUUCUGCAGCAGAAGAGGAGCACAGGGACGUGUCGCCUCCACUCCCCUUCCAGCAAACUCUUCUGAGACCAAUUCUCCCUCAAAGCUGUCCUGGUGAUCACACAGCAGAAAAAUAAUUCCCCAACUGUUGGACCAGGAUAUAGUCUGAAAACUGUUUUCUUAUAUUAUAGAUUGAAAUAGAGAUCUUUUCCAG